Lolium rigidum is the source of this 2785-nucleotide long non-coding RNA. RefSeq lists it as uncharacterized. The transcript has 3 exons. NCBI's taxonomy places the organism in Eukaryota, Viridiplantae, Streptophyta, Magnoliopsida, Poales, Poaceae. The record is from RefSeq and is a predicted model, not a curated record.
UUGCCCUGCUAUGAAAUUUUUGUAGGAAGUAACAUAAAGGGAGGCAUACAGGAAGCAUUUGCUAUGGCGUAGGUAAAGCAUAUAAGGCUCAACACCUGUAUCCCCCGUUUCUCUUUCUCCUUUUUGCAGUUGAUUGAUGGUGAUGGCUUUACAGACUCUAUAUAUCUGCUCCAUGAAUAUUUAUUGGCAUUUCCUUAGUUCGUUGAGGAGCCAUAUUGUUAUUAAGGUCUGAAACACCAAUUGUAUAUUUAUGGGCAUUUACAAGGUCUUUAAAUUCUUGACAGUCUGCCAAAAUUAUAUCUGCUUAAGGUGCAGACCGAAUAACCUUUCCAUCCUGAUAUUAACCAAUAAAUUCUUGAUCCAACAGCUAAAGACUUGUGCGAAAAUCGUUUAUCUACUUCUAUGGAACUGCAAAUUGUUCAUCCGGACUGAACCGAAUCCAGUGGCAAAGAUAUACUGCAGAGGAGGUCUAAUCAACGGAGACUACUUCCAGUUGAUUGAGGAAAAUGAGAGGUGGUUGGAUGGUUGGUACGUCCGUAGCAAUCCCGCCGUGUUAUCUCCGGCCAUCCAACUGCAGGCCGCGACCUGCAGUGACGCCGAGACCCUCCUCACGGCUGGGUAUUCGUUCCAUCCAACAGCUAUAUAGGUAGAACCUUGGAGUCGUGUGCGAUAUAUUGGCUUCGGGAGUUCUUUAACUGUCAAUUUCCGAUGGCUGUCAGCCAGAUGAGUUCCCUUGUACUUCCAGACCUCAUCUCUAUAUUCUUAAGUACCCAUGUCCUAAUGUAUGUGUACACAGGUUUGCUUAGAUUAUUUAUGUGUACGGAUGGUGCCAUGAUACUGUUAGGUAUGGAUGUUGUUGUAUGCGGCAGGUUACUGAGAGAAGGCCAACUGAGAGAGUGAAAUAGAUGUUUACAUGUUCAUGUUCUUCCGCAGUUCAUUUUUCUAACUUUUACAUACUUUGCUGAUACAUUCAGUGAGUGAGAUAGACGUGCUAUUUAUAUGUAAGAAUGAUGCCAUGAUUCAUUUUGGUUGCUGUAUGCAACAGGUUACCGAGAGGAAGCCAUUUGUUUGUGCUAAAAAUACAUAUUUGGGUUGCAAAAUUGUGUAGAAGGCAGUGGCUGCUAAAGCAGUCUAUCAAGUGGAAAUGUGUGUCCUUUACAGAAAUCAUCUUCAACUUGUUGCUUAAAAUGUUGUCUGUUUCCCAAAGACUCGACUUUACCAUACUGAUUUGUGAUAAUCACAGAUAAAUAUUGAUGGUAUUAAGAGUUUCCACCCUGUGACAAUCUUCCACUGUGGCGUGAAGAGCUGCAGUCAUAUAACUGUAUGCUCGAUAUUCUCGCUGCAUGAAUCCUGACAGAAUGGUCCAAUGAAUUUGGUGUGCAGCCUUUGUCAUCUCCCUACUGACACUUGAAAGAGAUUUUGCUUAAUUAUGCCACACCAGCAUGAUCUCCUCCGUAUUAUUACAUCUGCUUGAUAAUAUAUUCCUUGAUGUUUUUCACCAGUCAUUGGGUCAUGUUCAUGGACCCGUGUCCCAUGCAACUCAACUAUGGUAUGCUUCUCACGCUCAGAAAUGGCUCAUCCAACAAAACACAAACAGAUUUGUGCAAGUAGUGACAUUUUUGGGACUACUUUGUUAAAAAUGUAUUUUAUUUUAACGGGUGAGUGCGCAGUUUCUUGCCCUAUUUAUGAACACCCGUGGACAUAAAUCAGUUUAGCCACAACCCAAGGCAUGCAACAUGAAAACUUUUGAUUAGUAGAUGAUUAGGGUUAUAACAUAGUGUGGACGAACGUGACCCGUUGUGUAAAGAAAGUUGCACUUGAUGUAAUUAGGCAAGCAAUUAAGUUUGUAGAAGGAAUGUGUGUUUUCAGAAAAAAUGUAUCCCUUGUGAAAAUGGAAAUAUCUCAAAAGGUUGUCGAGACGCUCGGCUAUUUGACCAAUGGACCACAUUGCAACCAUACAGUUUUGGAUCUCAAAGGUAUGAUGAAUUAACAGCUUUUAUUGGAUAGCAAUUAAAGUGAAGUUGAAUCUUAAUGUUGGAAUACCAUAUGAGUAUUUCGUAUAUACGUGAAUUGUCGAUUGCAUUGUAUUGACAUGUGGUGCAGAAAGAUAACUUGAUAGGUCAUGGCAACGAACGGUCAUUGAUGCAACGCAUGCAACCAUUCAUGUUCCAAUUUUGCAUCGGGUAGCAGUGAAGCGGACGGGCGACUUAGGGAGGAAGAAUGGUGGUGGACAUAGCGUAUGCAUUUUAAGUCAAGUUCUUGCCGAUCAAUUAAUUGCAACAUGUAUUUUACUCCUAUUAUAGAUAACAUGUAUCUUAGAUGGCCACGGUUGGUUUGAAAGUUUCAUUUUAGUUCUGAAGGUGUGUAUAUUAAAUAGUUCUUGCAAAACCUAAAAUGUUGUCAUGAGUUAAAUUCAACAGAUGGCAAUUUUUUCUAUUGUACUUGCAGUUUUGUCUCUUGAGUGCAUAGUUUUAUUAUAUUGUCAUGUCCUAGAGCAUAUAAGAUAAGAGUAUGGGUCUCAAAGUUGUACUGGCAUUGCACUGCUCUCUCUAUCAUUUGCUCGGUCCCGUGCUCAUUGGCCCUUCUCAUGAUGUAUUUGUGUGUAUGAUUCAGAUAUUGAUCAACUCUCUCUCUCUCCGAGAUCAACUCAGGCAAGAGGUGCUGGACCAUCAUGGGGCACUCGCCUAUAAAGCAUACCGAUGUGAAUAUCUGGUCCACCGUUAUUUUUCUACUGUGUCGUUCUAGAAAACAUAAUACAUACCAUUAAUAUUUAGGACAAGUUAUU